AUGCCAACAACCUCCGGCACCCGAUCCUCGCUGGGGAAUUUCUCCCGCAGGCUCCGCGAUUCCUGCUGCGACCUCCGUACGCAAAGGGACACCUCGUCGUCGCUCACAUGCUUGUUCCGCUACGCCUUUCCUGCACUCGUCGUCUCAGCAGUUACCGUGCUCUUGGUGCUACGCUUCGCCGUCGCCCCGCAGAUCAAGGCCUACGUCGAGGACGCCCGUCUCAACAGCUUCGCCUUGGCCGGCACGCGGGCGUCCUUCUCCGCCUCGGUCGCCCUCACAGUGCGUAACCUCAAUGGGGCCAUGGACAUCACGUACACCAGGCCCCUCGUGGCCACCUUCCUCUUCCACGACCGGCGUCUGUACAACGUCACCGUGGCGGACGAGGGGCCCAGGCACAAGCCGCUCAAGAGGGAGGCGUACCUGCUCCACACCGGCGGCGAGGGCCCGUAUGUGCUCGACGACGCCGCAGCCGAGGAGUUCGAGAAGCAGAACGCGACGGGGGUGUUCGAGGUGGAGAUGCGCCUCUCCGGGGCGAUCACGCUCGGCCUUGGCAACAACCGUGGGCUGGAGCUCAGCUGCCCGCUCACGCUGCAGCACCCGGAGCCGGGCCCUGAUGUCGUCGUGUUCCAUGAGAUCGACUGCGAACCUGAUAGGCCCAAGAAAAUCGUCUUUUGA
This 675-nucleotide ribosomal RNA is filed under the name Triticum aestivum (bread wheat). RNAcentral's name for it is "partial small subunit ribosomal RNA". Lineage: Eukaryota; Viridiplantae; Streptophyta; Magnoliopsida; Poales; Poaceae. The record is from RNAcentral.